AAAGAAAAAAGGGGUAAAUCCUAGUUGAAUCAAAAUCAAGCUAAUUGGAGAGGGAAUUCAGUGUAAAAUCGGUGCAUGAAACUCGAUUGUUGAUCAUCUUAACCUUCUUAACAAACGGGAUAAAGGAAGAGAGUUCGAAUCACACAAAGCAAGGAGGAAAUCAAGACCGAGGUAAAUCUCAAGUUUAAAUAUCAAGCUUCGUCCGGUUCGAACACGCUUCAAAGCCCGUCACAUGUUCCACUACUUUUGUAAAGAAGACAAUGUCUAAUACUUUUUGUCACUUUUGUUUAUGUCUAGUAGCUAAACCUUAGCUCCUAUCAUGUUUGUCUCUUGAAAACCU
Long non-coding RNA from Helianthus annuus (common sunflower), 340 nucleotides. RefSeq lists it as uncharacterized. Lineage: Eukaryota; Viridiplantae; Streptophyta; Magnoliopsida; Asterales; Asteraceae. The record is from RefSeq and is a predicted model, not a curated record. The transcript has 3 exons.